CGUGACACUUCGAGAUUAUGUUAGAUCAUUACUUUAAAAUUAAAAGAUAUAUAAAUUUUAAGGUGAUGACCUGCUACAAUUUUAGAGUGUCAU
Molecule: non-coding RNA, 93 nt
Organism: Gossypium raimondii (Peruvian cotton)
Lineage: Eukaryota; Viridiplantae; Streptophyta; Magnoliopsida; Malvales; Malvaceae
Source: Rfam